AUGGCCCACAUAUCAGAUAUUAAACUGAUAAGAACAGAUACUACACUUGAUCUUAGCCAAAAGGCCGAGAAAGGUAUGCUUUCAAACGAUGUCUUGUGUCUCAUUAUAUAGCUAUCUCGACCCCUCCAUUGUGUUGCCCGGGCGAGGUGGUACUAA
RNAcentral lists this ribosomal RNA (156 nucleotides) under Triticum aestivum (bread wheat). RNAcentral describes it as "partial small subunit ribosomal RNA". Lineage: Eukaryota; Viridiplantae; Streptophyta; Magnoliopsida; Poales; Poaceae. The record is from RNAcentral.